AGAAUUCCGGACGAUGCAAAAAGUUCAAAAACCCAGUAAUUCUGUGGAUAUUAUGUUGUACUGAGGACAGUACUGGGCACGGAUCGACGAAAUUGAACUGACAUGCAACAAAAUUACACGCAAUAUCGGAGAAACGUGUUAUGUGUCCGUAGGUCCGUGGCGCUCGUGGCCUUCGUGGCGGUGCACAGUGAACGGAAGGUUAGGUGCGCUGGGUGCAGUUACGUGUGAUUGGUGUGCUCGGCAAGAAUGGCAGGGGGCAGUGUUAAAGAGGUUGACGUAGAUAGUAUUUCAAGAAGAAGACUGUCAAAAACUGGACUAAUUUUAAUCAGUUUAAGUGGUGGAGCUGCUGUUACGCUCAGUGUAAUAUGUCUGCCCUUUGUUUCACCAGCCCUACGUCGCUUUUGCCUUCCGUAUGUGCCAGCAACAGCAACACAGAUUAAAAAUGUUAUGUCUGCUCUGGCUGGCCGAUCAGGGAGACUCAUUGAUUUAGGCAGUGGAGAUGGGAGGAUUGUACUUACUGCUGCAAAGGCUGGUUUUGUUGCUGAUGGUGUGGAAUUAAAUCCAUGGCUUGUGGCUUACUCCAAAUUUCAAGCUUUCCGGCUGGGGUUCUGCAAUUGUGCAAGGUUCUACUGUCAGGACCUGUGGAAGUUCAACCUGAAGCCUUACCCAAAUAUUGUUAUAUUUGGUGUACAGGAGAUGAUGCCACAGCUGGAAAUGAAACUUGAAAAAGAGUUAUGUAAUGAUGUACAUGUGGUAGCAUGUAGAUUUCCAUUCCCAACGUGGACACCUGAUGCCACUCUUGGUGCAGGGAUGGACACUGUUUGGGUGUACAAGAAUCCUCUAAGAAUAAACGUUAAUUCUGUAGGACAUCUAGCAAGUUAAAUGCUCUGAGAAACUGGGGACCAUCAAAUAGUACUACCAUCUAAAGAAAUUUCUCUCAGGUGUAGCAGAAUAUGCGUCUUUGAAGGCAAUAAUCGACAUGGUGAUGCAGUGUUAAAAUGCUCCUGGAAGCAACCGUCUGUGUAUUGAUAUAGUUAGGAGUGUGACUAAUUGGUAGGUACAUUCAGAAUGUGAAGAGAACUUUACCUGCAUCGAGUUGUCAGACUAUCAUAUAUAAGAUUUUUACUAACAGAAACUAUGUUAUGUAGAUGAUAACCUUUUUGACAAACCUUAAAAUAUUUUUUGAAGAUA
This is an RNA transcript of Cryptotermes secundus, 1191 nucleotides long. It is a transcript of the gene named ATP synthase subunit C lysine N-methyltransferase, with no coding region annotated. The transcript is spliced from 5 exons. The record is from RefSeq and is a predicted model, not a curated record. Lineage: Eukaryota; Metazoa; Arthropoda; Insecta; Blattodea; Kalotermitidae.